CCUACGGGAGGCAGCAGUGGGGAAUAUUGGACAAUGGGCGAAAGCCUGAUCCAGCAAUGCCGCGUGAGUGAUGAAGGCCUUAGGGUUGUAAAGCUCUUUUACCAGGGAUGAUAAUGACAGUACCUGGAGAAUAAGCUCCGGCUAACUCCGUGCCAGCAGCCGCGGUAAUACGGAGGGAGCUAGCGUUGUUCGGAAUUACUGGGCGUAAAGCGUACGUAGGCGGUUAUUCAAGUCAGAGGUGAAAGCCUGGAGCUCAACUCCAGAACUGCCUUUGAAACUAGAUAGCUAGAAUCACGGAGAGGUUAGUGGAAUUCCGAGUGUAGAGGUGAAAUUCGUAGAUAUUCGGAAGAACACCAGUGGCGAAGGCGACUAACUGGACGUGUAUUGACGCUGAGGUACGAAAGCGUGGGGAGCAAACAGGAUUAGAUACCCUGGUAGUCCACGCCGUAAACGAUGAUAACUAGCUGUUCGGUCUCUACGAGACUGAGUGGCGCAGCUAACGCAUUAAGUUAUCCGCCUGGGGAGUACGGUCGCAAGAUUAAAACUCAAAGAUAGUACGCGNGNGAGAGCGACGACGACGACGACGGAGGAGGAG
Molecule: ribosomal RNA, 595 nt
Filed under: uncultured bacterium
Lineage: Bacteria
Description: bacterial SSU rRNA
Rfam family: Bacterial small subunit ribosomal RNA
Source: RNAcentral